RNAcentral lists this long non-coding RNA (366 nucleotides) under Bos taurus (domestic cattle). RNAcentral describes it as "long non-coding RNA NONBTAT024343". The record is from RNAcentral. Lineage: Eukaryota; Metazoa; Chordata; Mammalia; Artiodactyla; Bovidae.
CAACAGGACUGUGGAAUUGUUUCAGGAACCUCUGUGGUUAAAACUACAGCUGGAGUUGACUGCCUGGGGGAUGUCAGUUAAUUAAGGGGCAAUGAGUUGCCAGAGAAAAUCAGGGGAGAGUCACCUAGGUAAAUCAUUAUGGUUUUAGUAAAGGUAGAAUUAUGAAAUUUUUUUUACAAUUAAGACAGAGUAUGAAAAUAUUUAAUGACAGAUUUUUUUUAUAUGAUACUUUAUUUCCUGUAUCUUCCUUAACUAGAUAACUAGGUAGAUAGAAAGAAUGGCAAACAAAAGGGAAAGGGGAAAAAAAUAAGAGAGACCAAGAAACCAAGAGAAAAAGUUCCGGCUCACUUUAAGUUAUUGCCUACA